This 1386-nucleotide ribosomal RNA is filed under the name uncultured bacterium. RNAcentral describes it as "16S ribosomal RNA". It matches the Rfam family "Bacterial small subunit ribosomal RNA". The record is from RNAcentral.
UUCGCCCUUAGAGUUUGAUCCUGGCUCAGGACGAACGCUGGCGGCGUGCCUAACACAUGCAAGUCGAGCGAGUGGAGUUCUUCGGAACAAAGCUAGCGGCGGACGGGUGAGUAACACGUGGGCAACCUGCCUCAUAGAGGGGAAUAGCCUCCCGAAAGGGAGAUUAAUACCGCAUAAGAUUGUAGCUUCGCAUGAAGUAGCAAUUAAAGGAGCAAUCCGCUAUGAGAUGGGCCCGCGGCGCAUUAGCUAGUUGGUGAGGUAAUGGCUCACCAAGGCGACGAUGCGUAGCCGACCUGAGAGGGUGAUCGGCCACAUUGGGACUGAGACACGGCCCAGACUCCUACGGGAGGCAGCAGUGGGGAAUAUUGCACAAUGGGGGAAACCCUGAUGCAGCAACGCCGCGUGAGUGAUGACGGCCUUCGGGUUGUAAAGCUCUGUCUUCAGGGACGAUAAUGACGGUACCUGAGGAGGAAGCCACGGCUAACUACGUGCCAGCAGCCGCGGUAAUACGUAGGUGGCGAGCGUUGUCCGGAUUUACUGGGCGUAAAGGGAGCGUAGGCGGACUUUUAAGUGAGAUGUGAAAUACCCGGGCUCAACUUGGGUGCUGCAUUUCAAACUGGAAGUCUAGAGUGCAGGAGAGGAGAAUGGAAUUCCCUAGUGUAGCGGUGAAAUUGCGUAAAGAUUUAGGAAGAAACACCAGUGGCGAAAGCGAUUCUCUGGACUGUAACUGACCCUGAGGCUCGAAAGCGUGGGGGAGCAAACGGGAUUAGAUACCCUGGUAGUCCCCGCCGUAAACCGAUGAAUACUAGGUGUAGGGGUUGUCAUGACCUCUGUGCCGCCGCUAACGCAUUAAGUAUUCCGCCUGGGGAGUACGGUCGCAAGAUUAAAACUCAAAGGAAUUGACGGGGGCCCGCACAAGCAGCGGAGCAUGUGGUUUAAUUCGAAGCAACGCGAAGAACCUUACCUAGACUUGACAUCUCCUGCAUUACCCUUAAUCGGGGAAGUUCCUUCGGGGACAGGAAGACAGGUGGUGCAUGGUUGUCGUCAGCUCGUGUCGUGAGAUGUUGGGUUAGGUCCCGCAACGAGCGCAACCCUUAUUGUUAGUUGCUACCAUUUAGUUGAGCACUCUAGCGAGACUGCCCGGGUUAACCGGGAGGAAGGUGGGGAUGACGUCAAAUCAUCAUGCCCCUUAUGUCUAGGGCUACACACGUGCUACAAUGGCAAGUACAAAGAGAAGCAAGACCGCGAGGUGGAGCAAAACUCAAAAACUUGUCUCAGUUCGGAUUGUAGGCUGAAACUCGCCUACAUGAAGCUGGAGUUGCUAGUAAUCGCGAAUCAGCAUGUCGCGGUGAAUACGUUCCCGGGCCUUGCACUCACAGCCCGUCA